UCUUGCAAACUAAAGAUGGCGACCGGCGCACGGGUGAGUAACACGUAUCCAACCUGCCGAUAACUCGGGGAUAGCCUUUACGAAAGAAAGAUUAAUAUCCGAUGGUAUAUUAAAACCGCAUGGUUUUACUAUUAAAGAAUUUCGGUUAUCGAUGGGGAUGCGUUCCAUUAGUUUGUUGGCGGGGUAACGGCCCACCAAGACUACGAUGGAUAGGGGUUCUGAGAGGAAGGUCCCCCACAUUGGAACUGAGACACGGUCCAA
RNAcentral lists this ribosomal RNA (261 nucleotides) under uncultured bacterium. RNAcentral describes it as "partial 16S ribosomal RNA". It matches the Rfam family "Bacterial small subunit ribosomal RNA", at positions 73 to 334 of the family's 1533-position model. The record is from RNAcentral.